AGUGAACGCUGGCGGUAGGCCUAACACAUGCAAGUCGAACGGCAGCACAGUAAGAGCUUGCUCUUACGGGUGGCGAGUGGCGGACGGGUGAGGAAUACAUCGGAAUCUACUUUUUCGUGGGGGAUAACGUAGGGAAACUUACGCUAAUACCGCAUACGACCUACGGGUGAAAGCAGGGGAUCUUCGGACCUUGCGCGAUUGAAUGAGCCGAUGUCGGAUUAGCUAGUUGGCGGGGUAAAGGCCCACCAGGGCGACGAUCCGUAGCUGGUCUGAGAGGAUGAUCAGCCACACUGGAACUGAGACACGGCCCAGACUCCUACGGGAGGCAGCAGUGGGGAAUAUUGGACAAUGGGCGCAAGCCUGAUCCAGCCAUACCGCGUGGGUGAAGAAGGCCUUCGGGUUGUAAAGCCCUUUUGUUGGGAAAGAAGAGCAGCAGGUUAAUACCCCGCUGUUCUGACGGUACCCAAAGAAUAAGCACCGGCUAACUUCGUG
Molecule: ribosomal RNA, 492 nt
Filed under: uncultured bacterium
Lineage: Bacteria
Description: partial 16S ribosomal RNA
Rfam family: Bacterial small subunit ribosomal RNA
Source: RNAcentral